RNAcentral lists this unclassified non-coding RNA (393 nucleotides) under soil metagenome. RNAcentral's name for it is "partial contains 5.8S ribosomal RNA, internal transcribed spacer 2, and large subunit ribosomal RNA". The stretch from base 1 to 122 matches the Rfam family "5.8S ribosomal RNA", at positions 35 to 154 of the family's 154-position model. The record is from RNAcentral.
GAUGAAGAACGCAGCGAAAUGCGAUACUUGGUGUGAAUUGCAGAAUCCCGUGAACCAUCGAGUUUUUGAACGCAAGUUGCGCCCGAAGCUGUUAGGCCGAGGGCACGCCUGCCUGGGUGUCACACAUCGUUGCCCCCCCCCCAUCUACUCCUUCGGGAUUGCGGGGGGCGGAUGAUGGCCUCCCGUGCGCCUAGCCGCGCGGUUGGCAUAAAUACCAAGUCCUCGGCGACGCACGCCACGACAAUCGGUGGUUGCGAAACCUCGGUUGCCCGUCGUGUGCGUUCGUCGCGCAUCGAGGGCUCGAAAAAAUGCUCGGCUCCGGCUCGGCUUUCAACGCGACCCCAGGUCAGGCGGGGUUACCCGCUGAAUUUAAGCAUAUCAAUAAGCGGAGGA